ACGAGAAAGUCCCGGCACGGGAUGAGUAAAGUGGCAAACGGGUGAGUAACACGUGAACAAUCUACCUUCGAGUGGAGAAUAACUUCGCGAAAGCGGUGCUAAUACUCCAUAACAUCCCUGGGCUGCAUGGUUCGGGGAUCAAAGGCUUCGGUCGCUCGGAGAGGAGUUCGCGCCUGAUUAGCUAGUUGGUGAGGUAACGGCUCACCAAGGCAACGAUCAGUAGCCGGCCUGAGAGGGUGAUCGGCCACACUGGAACUGAGACACGGUCCAGACUCCUACGGGAGGCAGCAGUGGGGAAUUUUGCGCAAUGGGCGAAAGCCUGACGCAGCAACGCCGCGUGGAGGAUGAAGGCCUUCGGGUCGUAAACUCCUGUCGGGGGGGACGAAAGCUUCGCGCAAGCGGAGUUUGACUGUACCCCCGGAGGAAGCCACGGCUAACUCCGUGCCAGCAGCCGCGGUAAUACGGAGGUGGCAAGCGUUGUUCGGAAUUACUGGGCGUAAAGGGCGCGUAGGCGGCUUCGCAAGUCAGAUGUGAAAGCCCCGGGCUUAACUCGGGAUCUGCAUCUGAAACUGCGUUGCUCGAGUCCUGGAGGGGGUAGUGGAAUUCCCAGUGUAGCGGUGAAAUGCGUAGAUAUUGGGAGGAACACCUGUGGCGAAGGCGGCUACCUGGACAGUGACUGACGCUGAGGCGCGAAAGCUAGGGUAGCAAACGGGAUUAGAUACCCCGGUAGUCCUAGCCGUAAACGAUGGACACUUGGUGCCGGGGGUAUUGAGUCCCCCGGUGCCGGAGUUAACACGGUAA
Molecule: ribosomal RNA, 801 nt
Filed under: uncultured bacterium
Lineage: Bacteria
Description: bacterial SSU rRNA
Rfam family: Bacterial small subunit ribosomal RNA
Source: RNAcentral